GCUCACCAGGCGCUUCAUCUCCUUCCAGCGAGUUGGUGAGCAUGAGGAUGUAGUUACGCGCCAGCAGCAGCGUGGCGAUUUUGGAGAGCUUGCGCACCGACGGGCCGUGCGCGUACGGCAUGACCUCGCGCAGCCCGUCCAUGGCGAUGUUGAGGUCGUGCAUGCGCUUGCGCUCGCGGCUGUUGAUUUUCAGCCGCAGCUGCUGCAGCUCCGGCUCGGUCAUCUGUUUCUUGUCUUUCUUGGUGGACGACGCGGCCGCCGCCGACGUGGAUGACGAGGUGCUGGACGAGGAGGACUUGAAGCCGCCGCCGCCGCCCAGCUUGUCCCCGGGGUGCGCACCCGCCGCGCCCAUGGCUCCGCGCAGCUCGGCGCUCAGCUCCGGCGGGCAGUCGCUCGGCGUGGACGAGGACACAGUGCCCCCCGUGAAGCCGCCGCCGCUGCUGCCCUUGCUCCGGGCCGGCAGGAAAAGGUCAUCGGGUUCCGGCGACGACGGGCGGCUGGACACCAGGCUGGCGUCCGAGUCCAUGGCCCCGGGGCACAGUCGCUGCCUUCGCAGGGUCCUCUCUCCCUCGGCUCUCAGAGCUUCCAAGGGUUGGGGGGGGGGGGGAGGAGAGAGAGAAAGAAAGACGGACUCAGCGGGAUGGGACAGCUGCUUCUGUCUGCUCAGGGUCCAGGCCCGGGUGCGGUCAUACGGAAGGGUGCACUCUGAGUUGUGCCUGUGGGCUGGACCCUGGUUCCUGGCUCCCCUGCGAGCAGAAGCAGUCACUCCGAGUGUUCACGCUCUUCCGUCCUUUGGCUCUCUGGCAUCUUCAGCAGCUCAGCCAUUUGCCUGACGGUCUGCAAAGCCACAGGUGAGACUCUAUGUAUCCUACAGUCUUUUUUUUUCUUUUUUAAUUUGACAGGUAGAGUUAUAGACAGUGAGAGAGAGACAGAGAGAAAGGUCCUCCCUCUGUUGGUUCACUCCCCAAAUGGCCGCCACGGCUGAAGCUGCACCCAUCUGAAGCCAGGAACCAGGAGCCAGGUGCUUCCUCCUGGUCUCCCAUGUGUGUGCAGGGCUCAAGGACUUGGUCCAUCCUCCACUGCCCUCCCAGGCCACAGCAGAGAGCUGGACUGGAAGAGGGGCAGCCAAGACUAGAACCCGGUGCCCAUAUGGGAUGCCAGCACCACAGGGCGGAGGAUUAACCAACUGCACCACCGCGCCGGCCCUGUCCCACAGUCUUAACCUGCUCCCUCUGCUGCAGCAAAACACCAGAGCCUGGGUAACUCAUUCCGCGCAUACAUUUCCUGCCCACAGUUACCGAGGCUGAAACGUUCAAGACCAGGGGGCCAGCGGGUUUGGUGUCUGGGGAGGGUCCCUUCCCGGUUUCCAAGGUGGCGCCUGGUGAAGGCAGCAGGACAAAAGGGGCGGAUGCGUAUGAUGGACCCCUUUUUAUAAGACAUCCGUGCCCUUCCUGAGGGCGGAGAGCUAGCGACCUGCUCAGGGCCCCGCCUCUCUGAACCCUAGCAUUGCUGUCUACCUUUCAACAUAGCGUUGUGAGGGAUGCAUUCAGACGACAGCACACACCCUGCAGGACCCUAGGAGCUAAGUCAAGGUCAUUACCG
Oryctolagus cuniculus (rabbit) is the source of this 1602-nucleotide long non-coding RNA. The record is from Ensembl. Lineage: Eukaryota; Metazoa; Chordata; Mammalia; Lagomorpha; Leporidae.